This 487-nucleotide long non-coding RNA is filed under the name Gallus gallus (chicken). RNAcentral describes it as "long non-coding RNA NONGGAT011663". The record is from RNAcentral. Lineage: Eukaryota; Metazoa; Chordata; Aves; Galliformes; Phasianidae.
CCUGGGUGGUUACAGUUGCUGGCUGCUCCUCAGAGCAGGGCUGCCUGCCCCAAGGGUGUCUGGCAGGGAGGUGAAGGGUAGAGCUGGGACAAUCCCCAUGCAGGUCAGUGUUAGUGUGUUGCAGUCUGUGGACAGCAGUCGGGAGUCCCAGUGCUGCCCAUAGAGCAGCUCCAAUGAGUGCACUAACUCACAUCUCCAUGCAGGAGCAGUAUGCCUUUUUGUAUGAGGUGCUGCUAGAAGGUUUGCUCUGUGGCUGCACUGGGGUGCCAGUGGAGAGAGUUGCCAGUCACAUCAGCUGCCUCCAAGGAGCUGAGACCCAAAGCCAGAACAGUGUCCUGGAGAAGGAGUUCAAGGCAGUGCAGAAGUUUUCUGAGUUGUUCCAGCUCCUACCGUGCAGAGAAGCGGAGAAACCCAGCAACCAGCCCAAGAACCGCAAGCCAGGAAUCCUGCCAGCCGACUUCUUCCGGCCCAUCCUGAUGUCCUCGCU